UGGUGGCGWAGUGGCGAACGGGUGAGUAAUGUAUCGGAACGUGCCCAGUAGCGGGGGAUAACUACGCGAAAGCGUAGCUAAUACCGCAUACGCCCUACGGGGGAAAGGGGGGGAUCGCAAGACCUCUCACUAUUGGAGCGGCCGAUAUCGGAUUAGCUAGUUGGUGAGGUAAAGGCUCACCAAGGCUUCGAUCCGUAGCUGGUUUGAGAGGACGACCAGCCACACUGGGACUGAGACACGGCCCAGACUCCUACGGGAGGCAGCAGUGGGGAAUUUUGGACAAUGGGGGAAACCCUGAUCCAGCAAUGCCGCGUGUGCGAAGAAGGCCUUCGGGUUGUAAAGCACUUUUGGCAGGAACGAAACGGCGCCGGAUAAUACCUGGUGUCACUGACGGUACCUGCAGAAUAAGCACCGGCUAACUACGUG
This 426-nucleotide ribosomal RNA is filed under the name Pigmentiphaga sp. RNAcentral's name for it is "bacterial SSU rRNA". Lineage: Bacteria; Pseudomonadati; Pseudomonadota; Betaproteobacteria; Burkholderiales; Alcaligenaceae. The record is from RNAcentral.